RNAcentral lists this ribosomal RNA (440 nucleotides) under uncultured bacterium. RNAcentral describes it as "bacterial SSU rRNA". It matches the Rfam family "Bacterial small subunit ribosomal RNA", at positions 338 to 775 of the family's 1533-position model. The record is from RNAcentral.
CCUACGGGGGGCAGCAGUGAGGAAUAUUGGUCAAUGGGUGCAAGCCUGAACCAGCCAUCCCGCGUGAAGGACGACUGCCCUAUGGGUUGUAAACUUCUUUUGUAUAGGGAUAAACCUACCCUCGUGAGGGUAGCUGAAGGUACUAUACGAAUAAGCACCGGCUAACUCCGUGCCAGCAGCCGCGGUAAUACGGAGGGUGCAAGCGUUAUCCGGAUUUAUUGGGUUUAAAGGGUCCGUAGGCGGACUUAUAAGUCAGUGGUGAAAGCCUGUCGCUUAACGAUAGAACUGCCAUUGAUACUGUAAGUCUUGAGUAUAUUUGAGGUAGCUGGAAUAAGUAGUGUAGCGGUGAAAUGCAUAGAUAUUACUUAGAACACCAAUUGCGAAGGCAGGUUACCAAGAUAUAACUGACGCUGAGGGACGAAAGCGUGGGGAGCGAACAG